CCUACGGGAGGCUGCAGUGAGGAAUAUUGGUCAAUGGGCGCGAGCCUGAACCAGCCAAGUAGCGUGAAGGAUGACUGCCCUACGGGUUGUAAACUUCUUUUAUAAAGGAAUAAAGUGAGGCACGUGUGCCUUUUUGUAUGUACUUUAUGAAUAAGGAUCGGCUAACUCCGUGCCAGCAGCCGCGGUAAUACGGAGGAUCCGAGCGUUAUCCGGAUUUAUUGGGUUUAAAGGGAGCGUAGAUGGGUUGUUAAGUCAGUUGUGAAAGUUUGCGGCUCAACCGUAAAAUUGCAAUUGAUACUGGCAGCCUUGAGUACAGUAGAGGUAUGCGGAAUGCGUGGUGUAGCGGUGAAAUGCUUAGAUAUCGCGAAGAACUCCGAUUGCGAAGGCAGCAAACUAACCUGCCACUGACAUUGAUGCUCGAAAGUGUGGGUAUCAAACAGGAUUAGAUACCCUUGUAGUC
This 460-nucleotide ribosomal RNA is filed under the name uncultured bacterium. RNAcentral describes it as "partial 16S ribosomal RNA". It matches the Rfam family "Bacterial small subunit ribosomal RNA", at positions 338 to 795 of the family's 1533-position model. The record is from RNAcentral.